GAAAAAGGAAUGGGAUGGCGUGGGAGGAAUUUGUGGGAGCCGCACACUAGUGCUCAGCGCCCCCCACACGCCCCGUGCAGACGCGCUGGCAGCGGAUUCCUCUGGAACGCCGGCGCGGGGCCAUUCCUCAUGACCUCUAACCUCUCCCCGGACGGGACGCGCGGCGCGUUCCACGCAUGCUCAGUCUUUCUGGGCCGUCACCCCACGCGUCCCCCCUUCCCCCCGACCGCCGACUGUUUGUUGACAGUGAGAACCGUGUCGAGUUCCGGUGUCCGGCCAAGGGCGAGAAGCCGCGCGAAAUCGUGAUAAAGGCUCUGGGCCGUGCCCUCCCCUGGUUUCUUCUGCUUGCUGACUGACCCUGGUACUUCUCCACGUGGCCCUGUAUGGUAUGCUGUGCUCGCUCCUCUUGGGAACUGAUCCACCUUUGGUCUGUUUAUCACUGCAGCAUCUCUCUUUGGCGUUGAACUGCUCAGUAUGCAUCCCGUCUGAGGAGUGAGCCACUCCUAAGCUCACCGCAGGAAGGCCAGGAGGGAACCAGGCAUGGAGAAGUGCAGCCCGGAGCUCUGGACUUUAAUGAAGAAUUUCCCAAUUGCUCGAUGUUGGCUCAUGUUGAUAUGUGGAGACGAAUCAAAAUAGUGCUGCAGGAAGGUGUGCAGCUGACGAAUGUACACAGUGUCCACUCCGCAACUACGCGGGGGCCAUUACCACUGUAAAUUGACCACAAUAUCAAUGGCGACCCCGGAGUUGUGCAACACCGUGGUGUGGAUUCAAACCACUGCAAGCAAGGAGUCUCUAUUCUGAGCAGGGAGUCUCUAAGACACUGUUUUUCAGGCUUUAGGGUACACCAACCCACUGAGAUGCUUGCUUAAAAUGCAGAGUCCUGAGGCUCGUGUUCUGAGAUUCGGAGAGGAGGCCCAGGAAUUUGCAUUUUUUAAAAAAAAAAAACCAAACAUUUUAAAUAGCCUUUACUUUUUAGAAAAGCUUUAGAUUUACAGACAAAUUGAGAAACUUGUACAAAGACUUCCUGUAAACCCUACACCCAGUUUCUUUUGUUCUUAACAGCUUACGUUAUGGUGGUAUAUUUGUCACAACUAGUAAACCAAUAUUGGUCCAUGACUGUGAACUAAAGCCCAUGCUUUGUUCAGCUUUCCUUCGUUUUUACCUUCUGUCCUUUCUCUGUCCUGGGAUCCCAUCCAGGGUGCCACAGUACAUUUGGUUAUGUCUCUUUAGGGUCUUCUUAGUGGUGACAGUUUGUCAGACGUUGUUUCCAAUGACCUUGACAGUUUUGAGGAGGACUGGUCAGGUGGUUUGCCAGGGAUCCUUCUAUUGGAACUUGGCUGACGUUUGUCUCAUGAUAAGAUUGGAGUUAUGGGUUGUUGGUAGGAGGACCACGGAGGCAAAAUGCCAUUUCCAUAUAUGUUGACCUUGAUCACCUGGCUGAGGUGGUGCUAGUCAGGUUUCUCUGCUGUAAAAUCGCCCCCUCCCCCUUUUCAUACUGUCCUCUUUGAAAGGAAGUCACUAUGUGCAGCCCACACUUGUGGAGGGAGUAAUGCCCCACCUCUUUGAGGACAGAGUAGCUAUAUAAAUUAUUUGGAAUUCUUCUGUACAGGAAAUUUGUCUCUUCUCCCCCAUUUAUUUAUUCAACCUUUUAUUUAUAUCAGUAUGGACUCAUGGAUAUUUAUUUUAUACUUUGAGUAUAAAUCAACACUACUUUAUUUGUUUUGUUGCUUAAAUUGUCCCAACUUUGGCCCCUGGGAGCUCUUUCAGUCGGCUCCUGUGUCCCUUUGACAUGCCCCCAUCAAUGUGGGUUUUGAGUCAGCAAUUUUAACAAGCUCCCCAAGUGAUUCUGGUACAGGUGGUCCAAGGACCACACUGUGAGAAAUGCAGCUCUGGAACGUGCCGUGAACUCUGCUAACUACAGAAGCCCGCCCGCUCAUUGAUUCCUUCAGCAAACAGGAGUUGUCCCACAGGACCUGCGGGCUGGAGACGGUCUGGAACAAUACAACUGUCUCUGCAAGUGCUGGAACAACUGGAAGGCGCAUUCCGCUGCUGCUACAGGAAGGCAUGUGCCCCACCCCAGGUGAACAGGGGUUGCUGGGGUGUUGCUCAGAGGAACCACAAAGAGGUCGCAAGUCCCUCCUUCUUCCUCCAGGCUUGCAGCCUUCCUGUAGCACCCCUACUUGGUGGAGCCCAGUGUGUGGUUUGCAGGGUCUCAGCCUAGCGUCACGAAGCCAAGUAGAGAAGCAUGGGUUUGGAACCCAGAGGCAAUAGCUGUCAUGUGGAAGCCACGCUUCAACUGUAUGAGUGACAUUUAGGAACUGUAUAUACAGCUAUCAUAAACAGUGCUGCUGUGAUCAUUCUUGUUCAGGCUUCCUGGUGCACAUGAGAAAAAGUUUCUCUAGAGGAAAACUGCUUGGCCAUAAGGAACACCAAUUUUGACAGUGGCCCGGAAUGAGAGUGCCUUUUUGGAAGCCUUGGCGUCCAGCAGAGAAAUGCCAGCACAUCUCUGGAGAACAAAACAAAACAAAACAAAAUCAGGAUUGGAUGCACUGAAGAGCUUAAGAAGAGCAAUUUAAUUUUACCCACAUCACCCCUCCCCAAGGUAGCACACCUCAGUGCAAAGAAAGACCUUCUCUGCCGGCAAUUUCACCCACCAGGGAAAGUGAGAGCAUGUGAGCGAGCUCCUGGCUUCCCCAGCUGUGCCGGAGGCUGCCAAAGAGACCCACUCCUUCCUGGCCCCGCCAGAAUACUGAGGGGUGCCGCAUGAUGGGGGAGGAGACGGACUCUGGAAGAACAGCAGCCUGGGCUCUCUGAGGGCAUCAAAGAAACGCAGAUCCUGCUGACUGCUUCUCCAGCUCCAUCAGGAAGCCCGCCCACAAGUCACUGGGGACGUCUUGCCUGCAGAUCCAUACAGAUACGGUAGAAAGGGCAACAUCUUUUACCCAAAUGGAAAAAACACUGGACUUCAGUCUGAAAACAAAGGGUUGAUUCUGACCUAAGGCAAGCCAGCGACGACACCUGUGAAAUGAGAACUAACUAUUUUCCUAUAGGAAAGGAAUUUUCCUCUUUAUUUCAACACAGCAGAGCAGAAUGCUUCUAGAUCAAUCUUCCUAAAACUUCCUCUAGUCAUGUUCUUUCAUGUACAAACACCUACAAGGGUUCCCCUCUCUCGGAAUCCGAGAUCUCCGUGCUCAGGGCCAAACCAGCCUUUCCCAGCUGACCUCCAAGACCUCCCCUGCCGCCUCUUGGGUUCCAAACUAACCUGAUAAUCUGCUUCCCGUGCUCGCUUGUUACUUUGCAUCUGUGCUCUCCCCACUCCGUCCACCUAGAGUGUUCCUUCUCUCAUAUGUGUCAGUUGAAUCCCAUCCAUCCUUCAAGGUCCAGGAUAAGUGCCUCUUUCUCUGUGAGAUUUCCUCUGAUCUAUCUGAAUCUCCCCAAUACUUGGGGACCUCCUCUUACAUCAAGUACUUUAUUGUUUAUAUAGUUUUCUCCCCAUCUCUAGAAGAAUUGAUGUUUUUCUCAAUAGUGUAUAUAUCUCCUUCAACUUUCUGUUUCCCCAUACAGCCUAGCAAGAUGGCUUUUACCUAGUAAAAAUACACUAUUUAUUACAUGUCUCAUGGACUUAAUAUGAAGUGAAUUAAAGACAUCACCGUUGUCAAUAAAAACCACCUUUGAAUGAGCACCUACUAUGUGCUAGACCCUGUCUUAAGAAAUUUUCAUGCAUUAUACCACUUAAUUGUGUCGUACAUAUUUCUAUACAAAUGAUACACUUAUCUUCAGUUUGCUUGGCUAUUUUAUAAUUACUUUAUAUUUGGCUAUUUUAUGUAUAACUCAAUAAUUCACUAAUUUGAAAUAUAGAACUUCCAAAAUUACGUAAAGUAUCAGAGGAAAUAAAAUAUAAACUUUCAUAUUUAGGCAGACUCAUGUUUAGGAAUUUCAUAUUUUUUAAUUAAAAAAACUUUGAUUUAAAGUACAUUGGGAGUUGAAAUAUCAGUGUAUAUUAGUUAAAAUGAUAACAUUUAAGGGAGGGUGACAAAAUCAAGGGGUGGAUUACUCAUAGAUUGUGCUCAUGACAACAAAAAAAUAGUAUUUUUUCUCAUUAGAUCAUGAUUAUCACUAUUUUUUUUUUCCUUUUUCUCCCCAA
Molecule: long non-coding RNA, 4144 nt
Organism: Equus quagga
Lineage: Eukaryota; Metazoa; Chordata; Mammalia; Perissodactyla; Equidae
Exons: 6
Source: RefSeq, a predicted model, not a curated record